This 597-nucleotide ribosomal RNA is filed under the name uncultured Bacilli bacterium. RNAcentral describes it as "bacterial SSU rRNA". It matches the Rfam family "Bacterial small subunit ribosomal RNA", at positions 173 to 759 of the family's 1533-position model. Lineage: Bacteria; Bacillati; Bacillota; Bacilli. The record is from RNAcentral.
ACAGUUUAUGCCGCAUGGCAUAAGAGUGAAAGGCGCUUUCGGGUGUCGCUGAUGGAUGGACCCGCGGUGCAUUAGCUAGUUGGUGAGGUAACGGCUCACCAAGGCCACGAUGCAUAGCCGACCUGAGAGGGUGAUCGGCCACACUGGGACUGAGACACGGCCCAGACUCCUACGGGAGGCAGCAGUAGGGAAUCUUCGGCAAUGGACGAAAGUCUGACCGAGCAACGCCGCGUGAGUGAAGAAGGUUUUCGGAUCGUUAAACUCUGUUGUUAGAGAAGAACAAGGACGUUAGUAACUGAACGUCCCCUGACGGUAUCUAACCAGAAAGCCAUGGCUAACUACGUGCCAGCAGCCGCGGUAAUACGUAGGUGGCAAGCGUUGUCCGGAUUUAUUGGGCGUAAAGCGAGCGCAGGCGGUUUCUUAAGUCUGAUGUGAAAGCCCCCGGCUCAACCGGGGAGGGUCAUUGGAAACUGGGAGACUUGAGUGCAGAAGAGGAGAGUGGAAUUCCAUGUGUAGCGGUGAAAUGCGUAGAUAUAUGGAGGAACACCAGUGGCGAAGGCGGCUCUCUGGUCUGUAACUGACGCUGAGGCUCGAAAG